RNAcentral lists this long non-coding RNA (882 nucleotides) under Carica papaya (papaya). RNAcentral describes it as "long non-coding RNA (CPAP_LNC011189)". The record is from RNAcentral. Lineage: Eukaryota; Viridiplantae; Streptophyta; Magnoliopsida; Brassicales; Caricaceae.
UGAUCAGGGCUGUGGCCUACAUGGUGGCUCAGUGCUUGGGCGCCAUCUGCGGUGUUGGUUUGGUUAAGGCUUUCAUGAAAAACUACUACAACCGUCUCGGUGGUGGCGCCAACACUGUGGCUACCGGCUACAACACCGGCACCGCUUUGGGUGCUGAGAUAAUUGGCACCUUCGUCCUUGUCUACACCGUCUUCUCCGCCACUGACCCUAAGAGAAGUGCGCGUGACUCCCACGUCCCUGUAUGUUCUUCCUUCCUUUUCCUCUCUUCCGUUUGUUAAAUCUGUCCGUAUGCGACGCCGUAUGGUGUCGUGUAGUGUCAAAAGACGAACCAUGUUAGCUUUUAGGGCAUGGGUGUGGUUGUCUGUUUGUCGCUUAGAGAGUGUUUGAACCUUUCAGGUUUUGGCGCCACUCCCCAUUGGGUUCGCUGUGUUCAUGGUGCACUUGGCAACCAUCCCUAUAACAGGUACUGGUAUUAACCCAGCUAGGAGCUUCGGCGCUGCAGUUAUCUGGAACAACAAGAAAGGCUGGGAUGACCAUGUAAGUGUACCAUAUAUCUAAACACGUAUGUAUAUAUGAGUUUGAUGAAAAAUUCUAGGGUAGUGAUUGAUAUAUUAACUAGUAAGAUUUGGACGAAAAUGGUGCAGUGGAUUUUCUGGGUCGGACCAUUUGUGGGAGCACUUGCAGCAGCCGCAUACCACCAGUACAUACUGAGAGCAGCAGCCAUUAAAGCUUUGGGAUCUUUCCGCAGCAACCCCACCAACUAAAGUCUCUCUUCUUCAAUCUAUUUGUUCUUUUGUGUGUAUGAGUUGAUGAUGACCCAUCUUCUUCCUUUCAUCUUUCUUUCUUUAUUUAUGAUUUAAUCUUUUGUUGAUUAGUUUGGCC